UUUGACGUUGGACGUUCGAUAUUCUCAGAUUUGCGGAAAUUAAGUGACCGUCCCUAAAGUUACAUACGACAUUGUUAUACACGUUUCUAACUUCAAUAGCAUUUUAAGGGCAUGACUUACAGUCAUAUAACCAACUGUAAAGUGUUCAUCUAGGUGUCAGGGAAACGGGGCUCCUCGGGACUAAGAGCAAAUGUUUUGCAAAUUUUUUUGGGUCUCUUCGGGCACUGUUUCAGUUGCCAGUGGAACAGCUGCUGUACCAUGCAGUGAUGCAACCAUUGAGAAUGCUCUCAGAGGUGCAACGAUAUAAAAAAGUGUGUGAGAAUGCCUGGGGCCAUUCAAAACCAUCUCAGCUUCCACAGGAAGUACAGACGCUUCCGGGCUGUCCUCACUACUGUGUGAAUGUGGAUGGACCAUUCCAUUGAAGUCGUUGGAAAUGUGGACAUCAAGGAAUUAAGAAUAAAGCUGAAAUAAAGCUGCCAACCCUUUCCAUCUCUGUUCUGUUGAUGUAGAUAGGGGCGUGCUCACCCACCUAGCUCUUCCUGUGGUCCAUAAUCAUCUCCUUUGUUUUACUGACGUUCAGGAAGAAGUUGUGCUGUGCACCAGGCAGCCAGGGCUCUGACCUCC
Molecule: long non-coding RNA, 624 nt
Organism: Ictalurus furcatus (blue catfish)
Lineage: Eukaryota; Metazoa; Chordata; Actinopteri; Siluriformes; Ictaluridae
Exons: 4
Source: RefSeq, a predicted model, not a curated record